RNAcentral lists this non-coding RNA (46 nucleotides) under Trichobilharzia regenti. Lineage: Eukaryota; Metazoa; Platyhelminthes; Trematoda; Strigeidida; Schistosomatidae. The record is from RNAcentral.
GCACCGAUGAAGAGUCCUAAAAUAGGACGAAACGGCUGUCUGGCGC